GCUGCGACCGCGAGAGAAAGGGGACGGGAGUGGAAGAGCAAGGCAGACCCGUCGACAGCAGCGGGAGAAAGUGCACUCUCCGUACAACUCAUAAGCUGCAUUCUCGCUUCACCUGCCUACACAUUAACUAAUAUUUGUAAACGCUGCAUUCCUUUUAGAGGAAGUCUGCCGACAAGUGUUGGGAAUUUAAGGCGUUAGCGAACUUCGAACGGGGGAAAUCCUACUAGAACUCAGGUUGAGCAAGAGCAACUGGAGAACGGAACCCAAGUUCGACUUUUAGCGAUGUACUUGUUUUCGACUGGAAAGUGUUUUUACUGGACUGCGCUCAGGAAAGAGAUUUAAAUACCCCUAGAGGCAGGCAAUCUCGCGGUGUGAUCCAGGAUAGUGGACUGCCCGGGACGGAAGGUCCGUGCAUCUAGCUCGAGCCCUGAGGGAUAUCACCAGCCUCCCCACAUGUUCCAAUUUCCGCCCCCGCUGCACGCGGAGCACCUGUUCAGAAGACUUCAUCUCACCGAAGGGAGACUAACCCGGACAUUGACUGGUUAUUGAAUGCAAUUUAUCAUUUUGACCUCCCUUCGAGAAUAUUUUACAUACUGAGCUGUUAGCUCACUGAACUGGAAGACGUCUGAGAAAACUCUGACGUCUAUUUAACUGGAUGUAUUCUAACUUAAAUAAAUCAAUAACGAUUUUACAAAGGUUCAUUACAUUAAAUACAUAUUCAAGACCACGGGAAGGCCUUUCAUCGAUGGACUAACAACCUCAUUCUUUUGACGCUGCGAAGUGCCUAAUCUGGGUGUGAGGAUGAAGGUAGUGGUGUGACGGUGGCCAUGGGACAGGAGAGACACUGGGCUCUGGCAAUCACUGCUGCUGCUGUCCUCUGUCUACUGGGUGAGUCCCAGUCAGCUGAUCCAGUGGUGCGGGCCCGGGUGGGGGGGUCGGCGGAGCUCAGCUGCAGUCUCACCUCCACCUCCCAGGGAGCCUCCACCCCCAACCUGGUGCCCCUCCACGUGGUGGAGUGGGUCCGCCUUGGCUACAACGUGCCCGUCCUCAUCAAGUUUGGGGUGUACACUCCGCGCGUGCACCCCAGCUA
Alosa alosa (allis shad) is the source of this 1090-nucleotide long non-coding RNA. RefSeq lists it as uncharacterized. The transcript has 3 exons. Lineage: Eukaryota; Metazoa; Chordata; Actinopteri; Clupeiformes; Clupeidae. The record is from RefSeq and is a predicted model, not a curated record.